CAGGUAUGGUGAAACAGUUGUAUUUCACUCGAUUUAUUGGUGGGUGUGAAGGCUCGUGUGGCAUUAAGCCGUGAGAAGACAGAGCUGAGAUGAGUCACUGACCGAGAGAACUGAUGCCGCCAGCCAUUCGGACGCUUCCGGCACACGGGCUGGGUAUCGCCAUCAAGAGUAAGGGACGCCGCCAGACAGGUAGAGGCGCCUUCCUUCCCUCCAUGGCUUUGCAUCACGCCAGUAGGAGGAAGAGGAGGAGAAGGAGAAGGAGGGAAAAAGAACUUAUAGGAGGGAAAAAGAAGAUUGGUUUUCAAAGGCAUGGAAUUUCCUGAGUGCUGUGUGUGAAUAUGACUGAUAAAAAAAAAACUUUCACGCAAAAUAAGGUAUAAUAUAUUCAUAUGUACAUACGCACAUACAUACAUACUUUACAUGAUUGACAACAAUGAAAUAGGUAAAUGUGCAUAAAGAUUAAAUAAAAAUACUCUCUUGCGUAACAUACAUACAUACAUACAUGCAUACACAUCAUACAUGAUUGACAGCAAUAAAUAAAAAAAUAGGCAAAAA
Molecule: long non-coding RNA, 555 nt
Organism: Scylla paramamosain (green mud crab)
Lineage: Eukaryota; Metazoa; Arthropoda; Malacostraca; Decapoda; Portunidae
Exons: 3
Source: RefSeq, a predicted model, not a curated record